UACGUAGGGGGCUAGCGUUGUCCGGAAUCAUUGGGCGUAAAGCGCGUGUAGGCGGCCCGGUAAGUCCGCUGUGAAAGUCGGGGGCUCAACCCUCGAAAGCCGGUGGAUACUGUCGGGCUCGAGUGUGGAAGAGGCGAGUGGAAUUCCUGGUGUAGCGGUGAAAUGCGCAGAUAUCAGGAGGAACACCGAUUGCGAAGGCAGCUCGCUGGGACGUUACUGACGCUGAGACGCGAAAGCGUGGGGAGCAAACAGG
This 253-nucleotide ribosomal RNA is filed under the name uncultured bacterium. Its description in RNAcentral is "partial 16S ribosomal RNA". It matches the Rfam family "Bacterial small subunit ribosomal RNA", at positions 524 to 776 of the family's 1533-position model. The record is from RNAcentral.